CUCAUUGUAUAUUAAUACAUUUAUCACUCUGUUUAAAAUUUACAAAUGUUUUUGGUAACCUAUAAUAGUAUAUUAGUAUUUAAAAACCCUCUCGCCAUAAUAUUUAUAUUAAUGUGCAUAUUAACUAAUACGUUUUUAGCCGAUACGACGUGUACAGUUGGUACGUUUGUGUAACGCAUAUUCUUUUAUGGAAACUUACCAAGGAAGACCGUAUAUUAUACAUUUAUACCAAAAUAUGGAAGUGAAAAAUCUGAAUGUAGUAAAUACAAGAUUAAAUACUGUCUAUUAAAACUGCAGUAUUCAAGUGUAUUCUGAUACAUUGACACAAAACAAUAUUCGUAAUGUCCAGAGAAGCGAAGUUACCAAAAAUAAAAGCAGCCGACAACUCAAAGUAAUUGAUCAGAAUCAAAUAACAAAUGAAUUACCAAAACACCGUGUUCGUAAUGUCCAUUAGGGCAAAGUUGCUAAAAAUAAAAAUCGUUGACGAUGUUACCAGUCCACCGAGCCAGAAAGGCGGAUACCAGGCGUUGCCACCACUGCCUAAAGAAGAGUAAGCAAUAGAAGAAAAACAAUGCGAACAGCCUAUCGUCGACACAGUGGCUCAAAUUUUGGGAUUUGUAAAUGUGGCCACUGUGUUCUAUAAGUCAAAUCCCGGGACGAUGAUGCAAUGAACACCACCGACUGUCAGUUUCAAUUGGACACUGUUUCUUUAUCUAAUACAGUUAUUUGUUUAUAGAUUUAAUUUAUUUUAUAUUUCUUAGGCAAAUCAUUUUAUAAACAUAUCAAUAGUGUUUUUUUUUAUGUAUUAGUUAUUAGUACAUUUAUUGA
Long non-coding RNA from Rhopalosiphum maidis (corn leaf aphid), 828 nucleotides. RefSeq lists it as uncharacterized. The record is from RefSeq and is a predicted model, not a curated record. NCBI's taxonomy places the organism in Eukaryota, Metazoa, Arthropoda, Insecta, Hemiptera, Aphididae. The transcript is spliced from 6 exons.